RNAcentral lists this long non-coding RNA (490 nucleotides) under Gallus gallus (chicken). The record is from RNAcentral. Lineage: Eukaryota; Metazoa; Chordata; Aves; Galliformes; Phasianidae.
CUCUCCACCUCCCCAAUGGGACAUACGGUCUUGUUUUCUUGCACAGGAAAAUAAAAGCUGUCCUCCCGGUAUAUCGAGUACCACACCAUGACCAGAAACAGCGCCAGCACUCCCAGUAUCUUCCCUCGGGACUUAUUGAUCAUCUUUAUCAGCAGGGCAGGCAUCAGCCGAGGGCCGGAGCUCUCAUCGCAGCCACUGCCGCUCACAGUUCUUCCACGUGGUGCGAGCAGAGGGGGCAGCAGCUCCGGGGGCUGCGGGGCUAUGGGGCCAUCCUCAAUUCUUCCGUCCCGCUGGUGGCUGCGUUUCCCUUUGCUCAUUUUCCGCCCAUCUUUAAUUCAUUGACCAUUCGUUCCUCCCCGGCUCGAUCAGGGCGGGCUGCUCCUGGAAGGCGCUCUCUGUCCUCAUGGCGAAUCGAGUCGCUUUCAUGGGGCGGCCGGGGGUGCGGGCUCGGAGCGGGCAGGGCCGGGCAGCGGGGCUGAGCGGGGCGGGG